UAGGGAAUCUUCGGCAAUGGACGAAAGUCUGACCGAGCAACGCCGCGUGAGUGAAGAAGGUUUUCGGAUCGUAAAACUCUGUUGUUAGAGAAGAACAAGGACGUUAGUAACUGAACGUCCCCUGACGGUAUCUAACCAGAAAGCCACGGCUAACUACGUGCCAGCAGCCGCGGUAAUACGUAGGUGGCAAGCGUUGUCCGUAUUUAUUGGGCGUAAAGCGAGCGCAGGCGGUUUCUUAAGGCUGAAGUGAAAGCCCCCGGCUCAACCGGGGAGGGUCAUUGGAAACUGGUAGACUUGAGUGCAGCAUAGGAGAGUGGAACUCCAUGUGUAGCGGUGAAAUGCGUAGAUAUAUGGAGGAACACCAGUGGCGAAGGCGGCUAUCUGGUCUGUAACUGACGCUGAGGCUCGAAAGCGUGGGGAGCAAACAGG
Molecule: ribosomal RNA, 429 nt
Filed under: Gemmatimonadota bacterium
Lineage: Bacteria; Pseudomonadati; Gemmatimonadota
Description: Gemmatimonadetes bacterium partial 16S ribosomal RNA
Rfam family: Bacterial small subunit ribosomal RNA
Source: RNAcentral